GAAAAAACAAGCCACAGCCUAGAAGGAAAUAUUUGCAUGUCACACUUUUGAUAAAGGAGUUGUUUCUAUAGUAUAUAAGAAACCCCCAAAAUUCAACAAGAGAACAACCCAGUUUUUAAAGUAGACAGAAGAUAUUAACGGACACCACCCCAGAGAUAAUCCACAGAUGGCAAGGAAGCCUGUGAAGAUGCUCAGUGCCAUUUUCAUCAGGGAACUGCAAGUUGAAGCCACCGUGAGAUGCCGUGUACCCACCCGUGCUAGAACAGCCGAAAUACCAGCAAUGUGAAAGGCUGGGGAGGGUCCAGAGCAGCAGAGACUCCCCUUCACUGCUAGGGUGAAGGGAGAAUGAUACAGCCUCUUCGGAAGACAGUUUGGGCAUUUCUUACAAAGGUAAACAUAUAUUUACCCAGUAGUCCUGUUCCUAGGUAUUUCUCCAAGAGAAAUGAAAACUUAGAUUCAUACUAAAUCCUAUAUAUGAAUGUUCACAGCAGCACUGUCAUAACUGCCAGAAGCUGGAAACAACCUUGUGCCCUUCAGCCAGUGGGCAGAAGGAUGUCUCCGUGGACAGGGACAGCCCAUGCGUGGAUGGAAGGACAUCUCCGUGGACAGGGACAGCUCCCGCGUGAUGGAAGGACAUCUCUGUGGACGGGGACAGCCCGUGUGUGAUGGAAGGACAUCUCCGUGGACGGGGACAGCCCGUGCGUGAUGGAAGGACAUCUCCGUGGACGGGGACAGCCCAUGCGUGGAUGGAAGGACAUCUCCGUGGACGGGGACAGCCUGUGCGUGGAUGGAAGGACAUCUCCGUGGACGGGGACAGCCCGUGCGUGAUGGAAGGACAUCUCCGUGGACGGGGACAGCCCGUGCGUGGAUGGAAGGACAUCUCCGUGGACGGAGACAGCCCAUGCGUGGAUGGAAGGACAUCUCCGUGGACGG
Molecule: long non-coding RNA, 933 nt
Filed under: Pan troglodytes (chimpanzee)
Lineage: Eukaryota; Metazoa; Chordata; Mammalia; Primates; Hominidae
Description: long non-coding RNA NONPTRT007628
Source: RNAcentral